AAGUCGAACGAAGCAUUUACCGUGAAACCUUCGGGCAGAUCGGUUUAUGACUGAGUGGCGACGGGUGAGUAACGCGUGGGUAACCUGCCUCAUACAGAGGAAUAGCAGCUGGAAACGGCUGAUAAUACCGCAUAAGCGCACAGUACCGCAUGGUACAGUGUGAAAAGCUCCGGCAGUAUGAGAUGGACCCGCGUCUGAUUAGCUUGUUGGCGAGGUAACGGCCCACCAAGGCGACGAUCAGUAGCCGGCCUGAGAGGGUGAACGGCCACAUUGGGACUGAGACACGGCCCAAACUCCUACGGGAGGCAGCAGUGGGGAAUAUUGCACAAUGGAGGAAACUCUGAUGCAGCGACGCCGCGUGAGUGAUGAAGUAUUUCGGUAUGUAAAGCUCUUUCAGCAGGGAAGAUAGUGACGGUACCUGCAUAAGAAGCCCCGGCUAACUACGUGCC
Molecule: ribosomal RNA, 449 nt
Filed under: uncultured bacterium
Lineage: Bacteria
Description: bacterial SSU rRNA
Rfam family: Bacterial small subunit ribosomal RNA
Source: RNAcentral